Molecule: ribosomal RNA, 774 nt
Filed under: uncultured Neocallimastigales
Lineage: Eukaryota; Fungi; Neocallimastigomycota; Neocallimastigomycetes; Neocallimastigales
Description: partial large subunit ribosomal RNA
Rfam family: Eukaryotic large subunit ribosomal RNA
Source: RNAcentral
GUACACGCUGUGACUAGCAUAUCAAUAAGCGGAGGAAAAGAAACUAACAAGGAUUCCCCUAGUAACGGCGAGUGAAGCGGGAAGAGCUCAAAUUUGAAAUCUUAAAGGGUUUCCCUUUACGAAUUGUAGUUUAAAGAAGUGUUUUCUGUUGAGGUUUUGGUAAAAGUUCUUUGGAAUAGGACAUCAUAGAGGGUGAGAAUCCCGUGUUUGACCUUUACUUUCAACUUUGUGAUACACUUUCAAAGAGUCGGAUUGUUUGGGAAUGCAGUCCAAAAUGGGUGGUAAAUUUCAUCUAAAGCUAAAUAUUGGCGAGAGACCGAUAGCGAACAAGUACCGUGAGGGAAAGAUGAAAAGAACUUUGAAAAGAGAGUUAAACAGUACGUGAAAUUGUCAAAAGGGAAGCGUUUGACACCAGUGUUGUUUUUCUGAAAAUCAAUUAAAGAACUGUUUAUGCUAAGCUGUUUAGACUUUAUCAGCUAUCUGUUUAGUUUUGAGCUUUUCUUUAAUGCACUUUUCAGUUAACAAGUCAACAUCAAUUUCUUUUGCUGUAAAAAAGCUUGAGGAAGGUGGCUUGAGAUUCGUCUUAAGUGUUUAUAGCCUCUUGCCUAUGCAGUCGGAGAGAUUGAGGUCUGCAGCGUAGAUCCUUCGGGGCUAAAUGCAUUUGUGCUAAGUUAUAGCAUUUUAUAGACAACUUGUUGACUAUGAUUUGUCUUGUAGCUUACUCGCUUAUGUUAUUUUACCUACGCUUAGGAUGUUGACGAGACUGUCGAUCUC